CUCCACCCUAACUGCCACAUAGGAUGAACCUGCACUUUGACUAUGGUUUAUGUGUCCCACAAAGGUCCGUGUGAUUGGAACUUGAUCCCUAGCUUGGUACAAUCGAUUAAACAUAGCAGCGGUGGAUGCGCAACCUUCCAGACUGUGCACCACCAGAUCCAGUAAGGACCCAAGGACCCCAGAGGAGGUCUCUCCACCUGCCUGCCCAGGACCACCCAGCAGAUGCGUGACCUCCCGGACUGUGCGCCACCAGAUCCAGUAAGGAUGUUAGCCGUGUAGGCACACUUGAAACAGCCCCACGACCGGCUGCCCCCCCG
Molecule: long non-coding RNA, 317 nt
Filed under: Fukomys damarensis (Damara mole-rat)
Lineage: Eukaryota; Metazoa; Chordata; Mammalia; Rodentia; Bathyergidae
Description: lncRNA (ENSFDAG00000025879.1)
Source: RNAcentral